Molecule: ribosomal RNA, 403 nt
Filed under: uncultured Methanosaeta sp.
Lineage: Archaea; Methanobacteriati; Methanobacteriota; Methanomicrobia; Methanotrichales; Methanotrichaceae
Description: bacterial SSU rRNA
Rfam family: Archaeal small subunit ribosomal RNA
Source: RNAcentral
CGGACAGCAAUAUGAAGGUCAGGCUGAAGACCUUACCCGAUUAGCUGAGAGGUGGUGCAUGGCCGUCGUCAGUUCGUACUGUGAAGCAUCCUGUUAAGUCAGGCAACGAGCGAGACCCACGUCCACAGUUGCCAGCAUACCCUCCGGGGUGAUGGGUACACUGUGGAGACCGCCGCUGCUAAAGCGGAGGAAGGAGUGGGCAACGGUAGGUCAGUAUGCCCCGAAUCUCCCGGGCUACACGCGGGCUACAAUGGUUGGUACAAUGGGCAUCUACCCCGAAAGGGGAAGGAAAUCUCUUAAAGCCAAUCGUAGUUCGGAUUGAGGGCUGCAACUCGCCCCCAUGAAGCUGGAAUCCGUAGUAAUCGCGUUUCAACAGAACGCGGUGAAUACGUCCCUGCUCCUU